GCCUAGAGGGUAGCCUAGAGGUCAUGGCAUCUGCCCGGUAAGCGGAAGGUCGUGGGUUCGCUUCCCAUCCCUUGACA
RNAcentral lists this transfer RNA (77 nucleotides) under Cordylochernes scorpioides. RNAcentral's name for it is "tRNA-Thr". It matches the Rfam family "tRNA". From Rfam's summary of the family: Transfer RNA (tRNA) molecules are approximately 80 nucleotides in length. Their secondary structure includes four short double-helical elements and three loops (D, anti-codon, and T loops). Lineage: Eukaryota; Metazoa; Arthropoda; Arachnida; Pseudoscorpiones; Chernetidae. The record is from RNAcentral.